CCCAGACUCCUACGGGAGGCAGCAGUGGGGGAUAUUGCACAAUGGGGGGAACCCUGAUGCAGCGACGCCGCGUGGGUGAAGGAGCGUUUCGGCGCGUAAAGCCCUAUCGGCAGGGAAGAAGGAGGACGGUACCUGACUAAGAAGCCCCGGCUAACUACGUGCCAGCAGCCGCGGUAAUACGUAGGGGGCAAGCGUUAUCCGGAUUUACUGGGUGUAAAGGGGGCGCAGACGGCAGCGCAAGCCAGGAGUGAAAGCCCGGGGCCCAACCCCGGGACUGCUCUUGGAACUGCGCGGCUGGAGUGCAGGAGGGGCAGGCGGAAUUCCUGGUGUAGCGGUGAAAUGCGUAGAUAUCAGGAGGAACACCGGUGGCGAAGGCGGCCUGCUGGACUGUGACUGACGUUGAGGCCCGAAGGCGUGGGGAGCAAACAGGAUUAGAUACCCCAGUACC
Molecule: ribosomal RNA, 448 nt
Filed under: uncultured bacterium
Lineage: Bacteria
Description: partial 16S ribosomal RNA
Rfam family: Bacterial small subunit ribosomal RNA
Source: RNAcentral